UUAAGUUCAGCGGGUAUUCCUACCUGAUCCGAGGUCAACCUUUAAAAAAUGGUAUGGGGUUUGGCGGCUGAAGACCACCCGGCCACACGGACGUUUUGACAGAUUCUGCUACGCCCGAAGCCGGAUUGACUCCGCCGAAAGGUUUGAGGCCCGCCCGCGUUUGACGGCGGACGAAUGGGCCUAAUGCCAAGCUGUGCUUG
Molecule: unclassified non-coding RNA, 200 nt
Filed under: fungal sp.
Lineage: Eukaryota; Fungi
Description: partial internal transcribed spacer 2
Source: RNAcentral